CCUACGGGGGGCAGCAGUGGGGAAUAUUGCACAAUGGGCGCAAGCCUGAUGCAGCCAUGCCGCGUGUGUGAAGAAGGCCUUCGGGUUGUAAAGCACUUUCAGCGGGGAGGAAGGCGGUGAGGUUAAUAACCUCAUCGAUUGACGUUACCCGCAGAAGAAGCACCGGCUAACUCCGUGUCAGCAGCCGCGGUAAUACGGAGGGUGCAAGCGUUAAUCGGAAUUACUGGGCGUAAAGCGCACGCAGGCGGUCUGUCAAGUCGGAUGUGAAAUCCCCGGGCUCAACCUGGGAACUGCAUUCGAAACUGGCAGGCUAGAGUCUUGUAGAGGGGGGUAGAAUUCCAGGUGUAGCGGUGAAAUGCGUAGAGAUCUGGAGGAAUACCGGUGGCGAAGGCGGCCCCCUGGACAAAGACUGACGCUCAGGUGCGAAAGCGUGGGGAGCAAACAGGAUUAGAUACCCUAGUAGUC
Molecule: ribosomal RNA, 465 nt
Filed under: uncultured Klebsiella sp.
Lineage: Bacteria; Pseudomonadati; Pseudomonadota; Gammaproteobacteria; Enterobacterales; Enterobacteriaceae
Description: bacterial SSU rRNA
Rfam family: Bacterial small subunit ribosomal RNA
Source: RNAcentral